CAAGUCGAGGGGCAGCACAAAUGAAGCUUGCUUUAUUGGUGGCGACCGGCGCACGGGUGCGUAACGCGUAUGCAACCUACCCUGUACUGGGGUAUAGCCCGGAGAAAUUCGGAUUAAUCCCCCAUGGUAUUAUGGAUCUGCAUGGAUUUAUAAUUAAAGGUUACGGUACAGGAUGGGCAUGCGUCCUAUUAGCUAGAUGGUGAGGUAACGGCUCACCAUGGCGACGAUAGGUAGGGGGCCUGAGAGGGUGGUCCCCCACACUGGUACUGAGACACGGACCAGACUCCUACGGGAGGCAGCAGUGAGGAAUAUUGGUCAAUGGGCGCAAGCCUGAACCAGCCAUGCCGCGUGAAGGAAGAAGGUUCUAUGGAUUGUAAACUUCUUUUAUUUAGGAAUAAACCUCUCGACGUGUCGGGAGCUGAAGGUACUAAAUGAAUAAGCACCGGCUAACUCCGUGCCAGCAGCCGCGGUAAUACGGAGGGUGCAAGCGUUAUCCGGAAUCAUUGGGUUUAAAGGGUCCGCAGGCGGAUUUAUAAGUCAGUGGUGAAAUCCUGCAGCUCAACUGCAGAACUGCCAUUGAUACUGUAAGUCUUGAAUUUGAUCGGAGUGGGCGGAAUGUGUAGUGUAGCGGUGAAAUGCAUAGAUAUUACACAGAACACCGAUAGCGAAGGCAGCUCACUAGGUUAUAAUUGACGCUCAUGGACGAAAGCGUGGGGAUCAAACAGGAUUAGAUACCCUGGUAGUCCACGCCCUAAACGAUGUCGACUAGUUGUCGGGCCUUUACAGGUUCGGUAACGCAGCUAACGCGUGAAGUCGACCGCCUGGGGAGUACGGUCGCAAGAUUAAAACUCAAAGGAAUUGACGG
This 865-nucleotide ribosomal RNA is filed under the name uncultured bacterium. Its description in RNAcentral is "bacterial SSU rRNA". It matches the Rfam family "Bacterial small subunit ribosomal RNA", at positions 58 to 916 of the family's 1533-position model. The record is from RNAcentral.